CUUAUCUAAAAUGCUUGGGACCAGUCAUAUUUUAGAUUUCAGAUUUUUCAAAUUUUAUAAUAUUUGCAUAUACAUAAUGAGAUUAAUUAGGGAAUGAGACCCAAGACUAAACACCAAAUCCAUUUGGGUUUCAUAUACAUCUUAAACACAUAGCCUAACGUAACUUUGUGCAAUGUUAUUAGUAUGCCUGUGUUUUGACUGUGACUUGUCACAUGAGAUCAGGGGUGGAAUUUUCCACUUAAGGCAUCAUGUCAGAGUCCACAUUUUUUUUUUUUUUUUGGUGGUUCUGGGAAUUGAACCCAGUCUUGUGCAUGCGAGGCAAGCAUUCUACCAACUGAGCUAUGUCCCCAGCCCAAUAUUUUUGAUUUUCACAUUAGGGAUACUCAACCUAAAUUUUCUUUCACAUAAAACCAAGACUCAAAGAGUGGUUACUCAGCUGCUGUUUCUUUUUUUUUUUUUUUUAAUUUUUUAUUGUGGGUUGUUCAAAACAUUAUAAAUUUCUUGACAUAUCAUAUUCCACACUUUGAUUCUAGUGGGUUAUGAACUCCCACCUUCACCCCAUACACAGAUUGCAGAAUCCCAUCAGUUACACAUCCAUUGAUUUACAUAUUGCCAUACUAGUGUCUGUUGUGCUCCGCUGCCUUUCCCAUCCUCCACCCUCCCCCCUCAGCUGCUAUUUCUGACAUGAAGUGGCCCCUCUUUCAUUGUACCAUUUUGCUCUCUGUAGAGCUUUCUUUCACUAACCCUGUACUAUAACUUUUCAAUCAUUCUUUAGUUUUUAUGGAUCCAGCUUUUACUUUGAGUUGUCCAUAACUGAUGUACCCCAUGGGGAGAAUUGAGCUUCUCUUUUGUAGGUUGGCCUUCUUUGGCCUUUGGGUACCUCUGAGGAUAGUUUUUCCAUUGGAAAGAAAUGGUAGGAGGGGCUGAGGCUGUAGCUCAGUGGUGAAGUGCUUGCCUUGUAUGUGUGAGGCACUGGGUUCAAUCCUCAGCACCACAUAGACAUCUACAACUAAAUAAAUAUUUGAAAAAAAAUAAAUAAUGAUAUGAAAUUGCCUUCCUUAUAGGUUUAUAAGAUUUAAAUUGUGAAGAGUAGAUAUAUAACAAUGGAAAUGACUGAAGCUUCUCCCUUUUUGUCAGUUCAGCAACUUCUGCUUCAUUGGCAUAGGGCAUAAGUAGAAAUGAGUUCAGAAGACAAAUUCAACCUACUGAGGUGUUAGCUUAUUGAUGUAUUACUUCUGCCCUUUGUAAAAUGUGUCAUUUUUUUUCUUUCCUGAAUGCUGGUAUUCAGGGUCUGAUUUCAGCUGAGAUAGCAAUAACCAUAUAUCCUGAGAUUGAUACAAGCCUGAAAGUUAUUGUUUAAUUUGGCACAUAGUAAAUGGUGAGGCAUUGCAGAUGUAAGCACCAAAUCUGGCUAAAAAUAUAUCAGAAUACAAUGUUACUGAUUAAUAUGUCAUUCUUUGCAAUUUAAACUGUUGUACCUUUUUUCUCUUCAUUUUCUUUUCUUCUAUGAAACUACUUUGCAGUAUUAAUCUAACACUCAGUCUAGUGCAGGAUACACAUAGACAUGGUAGGCAAAGAUCUUAUUAAGUAAAAUCCUGUUGAAUGAGCAAAGUGACCCAACAAUAGAGAGUGUAGUUCCAUUUAAAUCUUUAUAUAUAUAUAUAAAGUACGAUUUUAGGUAAGCCCUGAAUAUAAUUAUUUUGAAGCAGCUUUAAAAAUGGUGAAACAGAUGGCUCUGAUUAUCUCCAAAAGGAAGGGAAGGAUUGGAGAGUUUUGUCAUUUCUUGUUUAAUAGUUUUGGCAUUGCUUAUACACACUUAAGUUUUAAAUACUCUGGUUUAUAAAUUCUCAAUCCCGUGCUAAACCUUAUUUCAUUCUCAAAUUCUCAUCUGACCCUACUUCCCAUGCCAACUCUCAAGACUCAGUCUCUUUGUCUGUGACUCAUACUGGCUCUUUCAACAUUUCAUUUCCCGAUUAUCCCUGAACCCAGAUUUCCCAGGACAGAAAGUACAAGGCUGUCCCAGAAUUUCUUUUAACGAGAACCAUUCCUUCCGCCCCCAGUCCCUAGCUAGUCCUGUUCACUAAGGGAACAUUUUAUAAACUCAAAAGCAUUUUAUUUUGGAUUGGACCAGGCUGGUUCUCUGAGGACCUAAGCAAUGUAGAGAGAAAGAUUCUCUAAAGAUGAAUAAGGUUAUUUGGGAAUAGCAGAGUUUUGCCAGGGAAGUGUGGAUACUAUAGCAACUAUGAGCAUGAUCAUAGGUUGAAUCAAGGGGGAGAGGAUUACAUAAGCUAUUUGGAGUGAUAGCAUCUGAUUAUAGGGAUCAAUAACAAAGAAGGCAUCCAUCCCAGAUCAAACAGACAGUUAUUGGGGAGAAGUCCGCAGAAGUUGUUUCUAUGUAGGAUUGCAGGGGCCUUUGUGUAAGGUUGUGGUUCUAGCAGAGUCUUUUGUGAAUAGUUAACUGUUGUCAGUCAAUCAUGCAUGAGAUCCCCUUCUUUACAACUUCUGGGCUUUAUUUACUUUUUAAAAUUAUAUUUUGGCAAAAAGUAACCCCAUUUUAAUUCUGAUAAUAUUCACAGAUAACUAUCCAAAGAAUCUUCAAUAUUUUGUUUCCCAGUCUUCUUGGGCCAGGAUAGAUAUCUUAUGCUUCCCCCUGGCAAAGUUCAGUCUCUCUGGUUCUACACUGCCUCCAGAAUUUUCUUCAUACCUCCCGCCUUUGAAAUGCAAAGCAGUUCAACUCAUAUCUCAUUUGAGCAAGCAAUUGGGGUGCCCCAUGCCAAGUAACUAUCAAAAAUUUCAUCUAAAUAAUGAGCAUGCGAUAUUUUCAAAAUAUAAUAACCAUUGUCAACAGAACAACAAUUUAAAAUGUUUUUUUUAAAAGGGACAGGAAUCAUUUUCUUUUUCAGGAAUGUAAGUAGAUGUUAAGGAAAUGAGGGGAGAGUGAUGUCCUCUCCAACCAUCCUCACAGAACCCCUGAGUAUAGUGACAAUCAGAGCAUAUCUGAAUGGACAGAUAUCAGCAUGUUUCCCUUCUACAUCGAUAGUUUUAUUUCUAGACAUGCUAUGCCUUUUCUUCCUAGACAUGCUAUGCCUUUUCUUCACCUGUCUCUUCCCUGUUUAUGGACUAGCUUUUCAUUCUAGAAAGGCAGAAGAGCUAAUUUAGGCUUUUCAGAAUUUCUUCUUCCUGCCUUUGGGUGUUUGAGGACCUCAAAUUUCUUUAUCCUUUCCCUUGUCUCUUUGUUUUGGUUUCUCCUUUACCAGUUCUGAACCAUCUGGAAAUCUCUUCCUCAUCUAGAUCCUUACUGCCAGUCUCAGCAAGGAUCUCAGCAAGGCCUCUAGCACUUACAUACCCCACACCCUUGCAGCAAAGUCAAACAUAAUGUUUUAAGGAUCUUCUGAAACUCACACAGAUAUUAGAGUUUAUAUUAGAAUUCUACCCUCUACUUUUUUCUGCAUCUCUGUAUCUUUGAAUCAAUAAUCAAUUUUUUUAUGUGUACGUGUAUGUGCGCUGGGGAUUGGAUCCAGGGCUCAAGCACUCUACUACUGAGCCACAUCCCCAACCCACCCUUUGACCCAGCUAUCCCACUCCUCGGCUUAUACCCAAAAGACUUAAAAUCAGCAUACUACAAGGACACAGCCAUAUCAAUGUUUAUAGCAGCACAAUUCACAAUAGCUAAACCGUGAACCAACCCAGAUGCCCCUCAGUAGAUGAAUGGAUAGGGAAACUGUGGUAUAUAUACACAAUGGAACAUUAUUCAGCAUUAAAAGAGAAUAAAAUCAUGGCGUUUGCAGGUAAAUGGAUGGAGUUAGAGAAUAAAUAUAAGGCUAAGUGUAUUACUCCAAUCCCAAAAAACCAAAGGCUGAAUGUUUUCUUUGAUAUGAGAUGCUGACUCAUAAUGGCGAUGGCGGGGAGCAUGGGAGGAAUGGAGGAACUUUAGAUAGGGCAAAGGGGAGAGAGGGAAAGGAGGGGGUAAGGGGGAAGGAAUGAUGGUGGAAUGAGUUAGACAUCAUUACCCUAAGUACAUGUAUGAAGACACAAAUGGUGUGAAAAUACUUUGUGUACAAUCAGGG
This 4067-nucleotide long non-coding RNA is filed under the name Marmota monax (woodchuck). Lineage: Eukaryota; Metazoa; Chordata; Mammalia; Rodentia; Sciuridae. The record is from RNAcentral.